CACGUAGGGGGCAAGCGUUGUCCGGAAUUACUGGGCGUAAAGAGCGCGUAGGUGGAUAUUUAAGUCAGGUGUGAAAGGCCAGGGCCUAACCCUGGGAUUGCACUUGAAACUGAAUAGCUUGAGGGCAGGAGAGGUAAGUGGAAUUCCCAGUGUAGCGGUGAAAUGCGUAGAUAUUGGGAGGAACACCAGUGGCGAAAGCGACUUACUGGCCUGGUUCUGACACUGAGGCGCAAAAGCGUGGGGAGCGAACAGGAUUAGAUACC
This 263-nucleotide ribosomal RNA is filed under the name uncultured bacterium. Its description in RNAcentral is "partial 16S ribosomal RNA". It matches the Rfam family "Bacterial small subunit ribosomal RNA", at positions 524 to 786 of the family's 1533-position model. The record is from RNAcentral.